This 750-nucleotide long non-coding RNA is filed under the name Salvia miltiorrhiza (redroot sage). Its description in RNAcentral is "long non-coding RNA (SMIL_LNC006040)". The record is from RNAcentral. Lineage: Eukaryota; Viridiplantae; Streptophyta; Magnoliopsida; Lamiales; Lamiaceae.
UACGUGGCCACUUACUGCCACUCACUAAAGUAUUAACAAUCAAAGGAAGAAAAGUCAAUAAAAGAAAAGAAGAUAGAGAGAUAUGAAAUGUGUGGGGCUGUGCAAAAUCUGCAGCAGCCUCCAAUCCCCUUCAAUUUCCACUCACUCUUACCUCCCCACCACUACCAUAAAAAUCAUUAAAGUUGAGAGAAAGAAAAUGAGUGUGCUGCCCACCACCCUUGUUCCCCAUCUCUUUAGCCGCCCUCUUUUAAUAUCAACUCCCAUCAACCAACAACUCCUUCUCAUAUAAUCUCUUUUUAAGCUAGCAUUCCUCUCAUUUUCUUCAUUGGCGCAUCGGCAAUCAAACGAAAAGGGAGAUUCAUUGUGCUGCCAGAGGUAAGCCUAGGCUUAAAUCCCUCCAUUUCCUUCAUAAGUUCAGCCUGCAAUUGUUAAGCAAAUAAGCAAUUUAUUUCAGUUUCUAUCCAUUGAGCUCCAGAGCAACCAACCAAAAACACAAGAACAUUCAAGGUAUUUUUACAUCGGUAUGCUUUCUUCUUUGUUACACGCCUCAUUUCCCAUGAAGCAUAUGAUCAGUUUAUUUGAAAAGCAUAGUAGGAGACGAAUGGUAUAAUCUUUUAUCCAUAUAGAAUCAACAACCCAUGACUUUCACACAAGGCAAAUACAAUGAGAAUUUCUGACGACACAUAGCAAAACCAUGAUGCCUAGUUUCAAUCUAUAGCAUAAACGACAAUAGGAGCCAAAGGUUUAAUU